Mauremys mutica (yellowpond turtle) is the source of this 628-nucleotide long non-coding RNA. RefSeq lists it as uncharacterized. The transcript is spliced from 3 exons. Lineage: Eukaryota; Metazoa; Chordata; Testudines; Geoemydidae. The record is from RefSeq and is a predicted model, not a curated record.
CUCCAGGUAUCGUUCACUUUAAUUAAAAUUCCAGGUCUGCGAGGUGUCAGAUGUCCUGUUCAGAGAGAAAAGGGGAUUUGCAGUGAAAAUGUGCACCACCGAGAGUUCAAAAUAAGAGCAACGCUAGUUCUGGAAAAGGAGAGAAGUUCAUUACCGCAGCACAGUGAUACAUCCCAAUAUCCUCUUUGCUCAACUAGCUACGGCCAGGCAUGCUACGGUAUCACGCGUUGCUAAUAAGAAGAGCCUCCCUACGUGUCGAGGUAGAGUCCCAGUGGCCAACCGCUCUGCACACAAUCAACGGAGGAAAGGUUGGCCACCCCUGCUCAACAAGAUCUUCAGGAAAACACAGAACAUGAAUAUUACAGAUUUCAGUAAGAUUUUCUAAGGCUUGUGGGAAGUUAGUCUAUAGUGCCGUUUCUUCUGGCAUAGCUGUUUUCUCUAAAAACCAGAGCCUGUCCUUGGAUGCAAACUGUGCUAGCUAAAACUGUGCCUGAAACCGGUUAUUGAGCAUCACUGAAGUAAGCAAGAUUCUUCACCAUUUGUAGACAGCUAAAGAUGUCUGGAAAACUUUCUAAGGAUGAAAGCAGUUCAACAACGGAACAGCUGCAUUGAGAGGUCAUUGUGAGGC